GCCGAUGUCUGAUUAGCUAGUUGGUGGGGUAAAGGCUUACCAAGGCAACGAUCAGUAGUUGGUCUGAGAGGACGGCCAACCACACUGGGACUGAGACACGGCCCAGACUCCUACGGGAGGCAGCAGUGGGGAAUUUUGGACAAUGGGCGAAAGCCUGAUCCAGCCAUGCCGCGUGAGUGAAGAAGGCCUUCGGGUUGUAAAGCUCUUUUAGUCGGAAAGAAAGAGUUGCAAUGAAUAAUUGUGAUUUAUGACGGUACCGACAGAAAAAGCACCGGCUAACUACGUGCCAGCAGCCGCGGUAAUACGUAGGGUGCGAGCGUUAAUCGGAAUUACUGGGCGUAAAGGGUGCGCAGGCGGUCUUGCAAGUCAGAUGUGAAAGCCCCGGGCUUAACCUGGGAAUUGCGUUUGAAACUACAAUGCUAGAGUGCAGCAUAGGGGAGUGGAAUUCCAUGUGUAGCAG
RNAcentral lists this ribosomal RNA (460 nucleotides) under uncultured bacterium. RNAcentral describes it as "bacterial SSU rRNA". It matches the Rfam family "Bacterial small subunit ribosomal RNA", at positions 229 to 681 of the family's 1533-position model. The record is from RNAcentral.